RNAcentral lists this ribosomal RNA (247 nucleotides) under uncultured bacterium. RNAcentral describes it as "partial 16S ribosomal RNA". It matches the Rfam family "Bacterial small subunit ribosomal RNA", at positions 85 to 334 of the family's 1533-position model. The record is from RNAcentral.
AAGAUGGCGACCGGCGCACGGGUGAGUAACACGUAUCCAACCUGCCGAUAACUCUGGAAUAGCCUUUCGAAAGAAAGAUUAAUACCGGAUGGCAUACGAAUAUCGCAUGAUAUUUUUAUUAAAGAAUUUCGGUUAUCGAUGGGGAUGCGUUCCAUUAGUUUGUUGGCGGGGUAACGGCCCACCAAGACACGAUGGAUAGGGGUUCUGAGAGGAAGGUCCCCCACAUUGGAACUGAGACACGGUCCAA